Molecule: long non-coding RNA, 338 nt
Filed under: Gallus gallus (chicken)
Lineage: Eukaryota; Metazoa; Chordata; Aves; Galliformes; Phasianidae
Source: RNAcentral
UCCAGCUUUGCCACCUGAGGGGUGAUGAGCUUCGUGCGCUCCUUCUUGGGACCGUCCUCCUCAGCUGCCGACAGCUUCUCCAGCUUCUGGAAGUAGUUCUGAUAGUAAUAGUCAUCCAAGUAGGGAUCGGUGCUCUGCAGCUGCAUCAUCUGGAUCUUGGACACCCAGUCCUUCUCCCGCUGCAGCAUGAGGUUGGCGUAGGGGUCCUUGCGCAUCUGCUCCUGGUGGCUGCCCCGGUGGCUCCCUCGGUCCCCCACCGAGCCGUUGAGGCCACGGUGCUGGUUUCGGUUCUGCUGCUGCCGCUGGUGCAGGAGCCGGCGGUGCUGGGGGUGCAGGUG